CACAACUAUGACUCUUUGGCCCCGCCCCUACGGACGCAUGCUUGGAAGACAUGCGCUUUGCGGCAAAGUCCUCCUUUUCUCCACACACGCUUCUAAGCCUCGGCACAUCUCCUCACAUUGCUACUAACUACACUUUAUUCAUCCUCCGUGUCAGGAUAAACUCCACUCGUCUAAGCCACAUUUGGAGAUUAUUAGGCCUGCUUAGCUUGAUAGUUGUUUGAGCGCGCCAAUUAGCUUAGCAUGCUAGUUAGCUUAGCAUGUUAGCCGCUAACAAAGAGACGCGGAUUUGAUCAACACAUCGCUUAGUUAAGAUCAAGUGUGAGUGUAAAGUGUUGUGAUUGUGUGAAAAUGUGCGAAUGAACGAUAGCAAAGUAUGAGGAAUAACUUUGUUGUGUGAAAAUGUGUGAAAGAACGAUAGCAGAGUACAAAGAGGAACUUUCUCGGACAAAAGAAGAGAACGAGAGACUACGUCAACUAUUGGAAGCUGUUUUCAAGAAACCUCAAGUUGUGUUACACAGAACAGAACUCAAUAAAGGACAUCUUCCUCAUGAGCAGGAAGAAGAGCCACAGCCCCACCACAUUAAAGAGGAAAAAGAUGUACCGCAUUCCCAACACAUUAAAGAGGGAGUAGAGGACCCACAGCCCCCCACAAUAAAGCGAAACAUGAGACGCCACAGACCCAUAAUGUUAAACUGACCCUUCACAAUAAAAGGCAAGCGGAGGACCCACUGAUCUUACACAUCAAAAAGGAAGAGGAGGAUCCACUUACCCCUCACUUUAAGGAGCAAGAGAACCCGCUGACACCUCACAUUAAAAAGGAAGAGGAGGAUCCACUGACCCCUCACUUUAAGGAGCAAGAGGAGGACCAAGAGCCGCCGCACAUUAGAGAGGAAGAGGAGGAAGAGGGCAUCAGUCAGCCUAAAUGGUUGGAGGAGUUCCCAGUGACUGGUGUCCCUGUGAAGAGUGAAGAUGAUGAGGUGAAAGGUGAAAGUGAGGAGAGGGGAGGGGGGGAGCCUCCAAGCAGCAGCUCAACACAACACAUGACAACAGAAGCUGAUGGAGACCACUGUGGAGGAUCACAAGCAGACAAGCUCUUAGCUCCACUAUCAGAUAGUGAGGACACAACGUCACACUCUCCUGACACUGAUGAUGAAGACUCUAAAGAUGAUAAGACAUGUCACACUGACAACACUCACUUCACAUGUUCUCACUCUCACAAAACCUUUAAAUACCAAAGUCGUCUGAAAAGACACAUGAGAACACACACUGGAGAAAAACCUUUUUCUUGUUCACUCUGCAGUAAAGGUUUUAGACAAAGUAUCAAUUUGAAAGUACACAUGAGAACACACACUGGUGAAAAACGUUUUUCCUGUUCAACCUGUGGUAAAGGUUUUACACAAAGUCAGAGUUUGAAAAGACAUAUUAGAACACACACUAGAGAAAAACCUUUUUCUUGUUCACUCUGUAGUAAAGGUUUUACACAAAGUAUCAAUUUGAAGGUACACAUGAGAACACACACCGGUGAAAAACCUUUUUCCUGUUCAAUCUGUGGUAAAGGUUUUAGAGAAAGUCAACAUUUGAAAAGACACAAGAGAACACACACUGGUGAAAAACCUUUUUCCUGUUCUACCUGUGGUAAAGGUUUUGUUGAAAGUCAGAGUUUGAAAGUACACAUGAGAACACACAAUGGUGAAAAACCUUUUUCUUGUUCAAUCUGUGGUAAAGGUUUUUGCACAAAAUCAGAGUUUGAAAAGACACAUGAGAACACACACUGGAGAAAAACCUUUUUCCUGUUCAAUCUGUGGUAAAGGCUUUGUUAAAAGUCAGGGUUUGAAAGUACACAUGAGAACACACAUUGGUGAAAAACCUUUCUCCUGUUCAAUCUGUGGUAAAUGCUUUGCACAAAGUCAACAUUUGAAAAGACACAACAGAACACACAGUGGUGAAAAAUCACAUUCCUGCUGAAUCUGCAACAGAAGCUUUUGUUGACGAUCAAAGCUUGUAAGACACAUGAGAAGACACCCAGGAGAGAAAGUGUUGAGUUGCAGUGUGUGUGGUGAAAGAUUGUCUUCUAAGUACCAGUGUAAGAAACACAAGUGUGCUGGUGAGAACAGCAGCAGCAAAUGAAACUGCAGGAUUUGAAAUAAACUGUCCAGACUUUCAUUUUGACUUUCUAACAACAUCAGCACAUAUAACAUGUGUGACAAUGUUGUUUGUCUAACAAUCUGUUUAAUAUGAUCUUUACAUUUAUAGAUUAGACAUUUUAUAGUAAUGCUUUUUUCAGUCAAGUACAUGCAUUAAUAUGCAACAUUGUGUACUUUUGUUAAAAAAUGGACAGAACAAUUUGAGUAAAAAAGUGAGAGUAAACAGUAAAAUACAUAUUUUACAUGCAAUAAACAUGUGUGUAUGUAUACACAUACACACACACUCUCUCUCUCUCUCUAUAUGUAUAUAUAUAUAUAUAUAUAUAUAUAUAUAUAUACUGUAUAUUCAUCAUACAAUUUUAGACCUAUUUAUAUGAAAUAUUGAAGUAUUACAUAUUUGUAUUUGUAAUUGUUAAUAACCCCAUAGAUUGUCACCUUUAUAUGAUAUACAUAUGUACUGGUUCACAUCUGAAACAUCUUCUGGACCACUUCAGGAAGCAUAUUAUUAUUUACUUCAUACAUCAUUUGAACAGUUGUCUUUUAUACAAUUUUAAAAUAUGUGUCUCUUUGAAUCAUUUGUUGGGUCUCUAUAAUCUAUUUUAUUCAUUACCGUUAUUACUCUGUAUUAUGAUGAUUGUGUUGUGAUUAUUUUAUAUGUAUGUCCCCAGACCUUUAUGCAAUAUACAAGUGAGAGAAAAUGGCUGAGUUUUUGUGGAAGGAUGGGGUUGUUUUUACAAACUUACAUUUGUGGAUAAAUCAAAUAAAUCCAGUAUUGUGUUUUAAA
Nerophis ophidion (straightnose pipefish) is the source of this 2928-nucleotide long non-coding RNA. RefSeq lists it as uncharacterized. The transcript is spliced from 2 exons. The record is from RefSeq and is a predicted model, not a curated record. NCBI's taxonomy places the organism in Eukaryota, Metazoa, Chordata, Actinopteri, Syngnathiformes, Syngnathidae.